Small nuclear RNA from Dromiciops gliroides (monito del monte), 189 nucleotides. RefSeq annotates it as U2 spliceosomal RNA. The transcript has a single exon. The record is from RefSeq and is a predicted model, not a curated record. NCBI's taxonomy places the organism in Eukaryota, Metazoa, Chordata, Mammalia, Microbiotheria, Microbiotheriidae.
AUCACUUCUUGGCCUUUAGGCUAAGAUCAAGUGGAGUAUCUGUUCUUAUCAGUUUACUAUCUGAUACAUCCUCUCUCUGAGGACAAUAUAAGAUACUUAAUAAAAGCUUGUUGAUUGAUGGAUUCAUAUCAGAAGACUCUUUGGUCUUUUUUCUGCCUUUUGGUAGAGCUGGGUAUCAGGGCAUUACCU